Pseudonaja textilis is the source of this 272-nucleotide non-coding RNA. The record is from RefSeq and is a predicted model, not a curated record. Lineage: Eukaryota; Metazoa; Chordata; Lepidosauria; Squamata; Elapidae.
AGAUAGAAAAAAAUAAGAAAACAUUAUGUAAAAGAUGAUACCCCCGAACAAACAUUUACAAACUUCAGUAACUUAACAUCUUCUCUAGUACUUCAAUUAAAAAAACUUCUUUCCAUAUCCCAUUCCCAAUUAAUAAUUAAGUUGUAAAAAAACAUCAUUCAGCAGAAGUGUAUUACCAGAAAUAGUUCCUGAUUUACAACAGUUCAUUUAAUUUAUGACAGUUUUUCACACUUACCAUUGCAGCAUGCCCUUGGUUAUGUGUGGUCAUGUGA